This 192-nucleotide ribosomal RNA is filed under the name Triticum aestivum (bread wheat). RNAcentral describes it as "partial small subunit ribosomal RNA". Lineage: Eukaryota; Viridiplantae; Streptophyta; Magnoliopsida; Poales; Poaceae. The record is from RNAcentral.
AUGGUGACUGCAUUUAGAGCUGGCAUUGGUGCUUGGCCCAUGGAGAGAAGCCCUAAUGUACACCCAAGGUUCAGGGAGGUGAUCCAGGUUUCCAAGAAGGUUAGAAGUGAUGUCAUUGGUGACUCAUGUGAAGUUGCUUUGUUUGAUUCAAGUGCAAUUAGACCGUGGCAGCCAUGCGGAAUAUAUGCAUGA